Molecule: unclassified non-coding RNA, 594 nt
Filed under: Hevea brasiliensis (rubber tree)
Lineage: Eukaryota; Viridiplantae; Streptophyta; Magnoliopsida; Malpighiales; Euphorbiaceae
Source: RNAcentral
UGCUGCUCAGUCAACGCUGACACCACUUUGUCAGACACAUUCACACAACCACUAAGAUUAACCUUCACCAAACCUGCAUCAUAAUUCUCAAGCAAUGGAGUAAACCCAGCAUCAGUUACACCCUUGAGUCCACUCAAUUCCACAUACUGCAACUGAGGACAGAACUUUCCCAUAAGAGCCAAGCUUCCAUCGCCAAAACCUGGGCAGUUACGGACGCACAAUGAACGUAGGGAUUUGCAAGGAGAAAACUGAGGUAAUUUCAGAUUCAAGUCUCUAAUUCCCAAGCAGUUCACCAUAGCAAGAGCCUUCAAUUGUGCACCACAGUUCAAAAGGGAACCAAAACAACCAAGCUGGGUAAUCCUGUGGCACUCCUCCAACUGCAGGCUCUCCAGCGACUUCGCAGCUCUCACAAACAAUACCAGUCCAUUGUCAGAUAGGAAUGCACACUUGCGGAGGCAGAACUGCUUUAAAUUUGGGCAACCCUUCCCCAUAGCUUCCAGCCCAGUAUCCGUCAGUCCUCGGCAAGAUGUAACUGUAAAGGACUUCAGCUUCUGUAAGCCAUGGCCAUUACCCAUGACCCAAAAGCCCUUCUCA